RNAcentral lists this ribosomal RNA (492 nucleotides) under uncultured bacterium. RNAcentral describes it as "partial 16S ribosomal RNA". It matches the Rfam family "Bacterial small subunit ribosomal RNA", at positions 29 to 507 of the family's 1533-position model. The record is from RNAcentral.
AGUGAACGCUGGCGGUAGGCCUAACACAUGCAAGUCGAACGGCAGCACGGUAAGAGCUUGCUCUUACGGGUGGCGAGUGGCGGACGGGUGAGGGAUACAUCGGAAUCUACUUUUUCGUGGGGGAUAACGUAGGGAAACUUACGCUAAUACCGCAUACGACCUACGGGUGAAAGCAGGGGAUCUUCGGACCUUGCGCGAUUGAAUGAGCCGAUGUCGGAUUAGCUAGUUGGCGGGGUAAAGGCCCACCAAGGCGACGAUCCGUAGCUGGUCUGAGAGGAUGAUCAGCCACACUGGAACUGAGACACGGUCCAGACUCCUACGGGAGGCAGCAGUGGGGAAUAUUGGACAAUGGGCGCAAGCCUGAUCCAGCCAUACCGCGUGGGUGAAGAAGGCCUUCGGGUUGUAAAGCCCUUUUGUUGGGAAAGAAAAGCAGCAGGUUAAUACCCCGCUGUUCUGACGGUACCCAAAGAAUAAGCACCGGCUAACUUCGUG